CAGAGUUGCAAAACUCCCACAAACCAUCGCGAAUUCUUACCCGUACGGUUGCCUCGGCGCUGGCGGUCCGGAAGGCCCUUCGGGCCCCCCCGGAUCUCCUCGGGUCUUCCCCGCUCCGCGGGAGGCUGCCCGCCGGAGUGCCGAAACCAAAACUCUUGAUUAUUUUAUUGUCCUCGUCUGAGUAGAUAACUUUUAAAUAAGUUCA
Molecule: unclassified non-coding RNA, 205 nt
Filed under: soil metagenome
Description: partial internal transcribed spacer 1
Source: RNAcentral